RNAcentral lists this ribosomal RNA (301 nucleotides) under uncultured bacterium. RNAcentral describes it as "partial 16S ribosomal RNA". It matches the Rfam family "Bacterial small subunit ribosomal RNA", at positions 509 to 809 of the family's 1533-position model. The record is from RNAcentral.
CAGCCGCCACGGGAAUACAGAGGUCCCGAGCGUUGUUCGGAUUCACUGGGCGUAAAGGGUGUGUAGGAGGUUGGAUAAGUCAGGUGUGAAAUCCCGCAGCUCAACUGCGGAACUGCAUUCGAUACUGUUCAACUAGAGGAUCGGAGGGGGAAGCGGAUUCUUGGUGUAGCGGUGAAAUGCGUAGAUAUCAAGAGGAACACCGGUGGCGAAGGCGGCUUCCUGGAAGAUACCUGACUCUGAAACACGAAAGCCAGGGGAGCGAAUGGGAUUAGAUACCCGGGUAGUCCCUGUCUCUUAUACA